GACGAACGCUGGCGGUGUGCUUAACACAUGCAAGUCGAACGGAAAGGCCCUGCUUUUGUGGUGUGCUCGAGUGGCGAACGGGUGAGUAACACGUGAGUAACCUGCUCUUGACUUUGGGAUAACUUCAGGAAACGGGGGCUAAUACCGGAUAGGAGCUCCUGCUGCAUGGUGGGGGUUGGAUAGUCGCGGCGGUUGGGGAUGGACGCGCGGCUUAUCAGCUUGUUGGUGGGGUAGUGGCUUCCCAAGGCUUUGACGGGUAGCCGGCACGAGAGGGUGACCGGGCACAUGGGGCCUACGGGACGCACCAGACGGGAACGUUGGGCAACGGUGGCGAAUAUUACCCAGUGGGCCGGAGCCUGAGGAGGCGACGUCGCGGUUGGGAAGACGGCCUUCUGGGUAAGAACAGCUUUCGCCUGAGACGCCGCGUGUGUGACGGUACUGGAUGAAGAAGCACCGGCUAACUACGUG
This 468-nucleotide ribosomal RNA is filed under the name uncultured bacterium. Its description in RNAcentral is "partial 16S ribosomal RNA". It matches the Rfam family "Bacterial small subunit ribosomal RNA", at positions 28 to 507 of the family's 1533-position model. The record is from RNAcentral.